Molecule: ribosomal RNA, 781 nt
Filed under: Bacillus sp. (in: firmicutes)
Lineage: Bacteria; Bacillati; Bacillota; Bacilli; Caryophanales; Bacillaceae
Description: bacterial SSU rRNA
Rfam family: Bacterial small subunit ribosomal RNA
Source: RNAcentral
GAAAAGGUGGACUUCCCACGUGUAGCGGUGAACUGCGUAGAGAUGUGGAGGAACACCAGGUGGCGAAGGCUGGCUUUUUGGUCCUGUAACUGACGCUGAGGCGAGAAAGCGUGGGGAGCAAAACAGGAUUAGAUACCGUGGUAGUCUCACGCUGUAAACGAUGAGUGCUAGGUGUUGGGGGGUUCCACCCUCAGUGCUGAAGUUAACACAUUAAGCACUCCGCCUGGGGAGUACGACCGCAAGGUUGAAACUCAAAGGAAUUGACGGGGGCCCGCACAAGCAGUGGAGCAUGUGGUUUAAUUCGAAGCAACGCGAAGAACCUUACCAGGUCUUGACAUCCUCUGACCACUCUAGAGAUAGAGCUUUCCCCUUCGGGGGACAGAGUGACAGGUGGAGCAUGGUUGUCGUCAGCUCGUGUCGUGAGAUGUUGGGUUAAGUCCCGCAACGAGCGCAACCCUUGACCUUAGUUGCCAGCAUUCAGUUGGGCACUCUAAGGUGACUGCCGGUGACAAACCGGAGGAAGGUGGGGAUGACGUCAAAUCAUCAUGCCCCUUAUGACCUGGGCUACACACGUGCUACAAUGGAUGGUACAAAGGGUUGCGAAGCCGCGAGGCCAAGCCAAUCCCAAAAAGCCAUUCUCAGUUCGGAUUGUAGGCUGCAACUCGCCUACAUGAAGCCGGAAUUGCUAGUAAUCGCGGAUCAGCAUGCCGCGGUGAAUACGUUCCCGGGCCUUGUACACACCGCCCGUCACACCACGAGAGUUUGUAACACCCGAAGUCGG